Lolium perenne is the source of this 415-nucleotide long non-coding RNA. RefSeq lists it as uncharacterized. The record is from RefSeq and is a predicted model, not a curated record. Lineage: Eukaryota; Viridiplantae; Streptophyta; Magnoliopsida; Poales; Poaceae.
AGGUACUGUAGGUACCAAUGGGGAAACAACAGAAGAACGAUGAGGGCAUUGUCUCUAGGUUCAUUCUUAUUUUGAAGAAUAAGUAGUCAAAUCAAGGAUUGAUCGGCGAGUGAUCAAGCGGAGCGAUCUCGGGUUGUACGUGUUUGCGUUGAAUCUGUUGAGUGGCGAUCCCUUCAUGAAUUAAAAAUUGUUGCCAUACUUUGACACCUGCCAGUUUACUGGUUGCUAUAAAUUGUGAAGGAAUCAAGUUGUGGGCAAAUAUUGAAAGAAUGUGCCUCUGAACAUAGUUUCAGUAGUAGUGCCACUUGGAGAGAUCAACAUUAUUUGUUUACUCAUCCAAUGAAGGUCUUGCAGCAUGACCAGUAUUAUGGUCAGUUGUCGAGUGCAACAUCCUCCAGUUUUUAUUUAGUUUCAC